This 425-nucleotide ribosomal RNA is filed under the name Conus striatus (striated cone). RNAcentral's name for it is "partial 16S ribosomal RNA". It matches the Rfam family "Bacterial large subunit ribosomal RNA", at positions 1933 to 2571 of the family's 2925-position model. The record is from RNAcentral. Lineage: Eukaryota; Metazoa; Mollusca; Gastropoda; Neogastropoda; Conidae.
GCGGUACUUGACCGUGCAAAGGUAGCAUAAUCAUUUGCCUUAUAAUUGAAGGCUGGAAUGAAUGGUUUGACAAGAAUACAGCUGUCUCUUUUAGAUUGUUUAGAAUUUUAUCUUUGGAUGAAAAAGUCCAAAUAUUAUUAAAAGACAAGAAGACCCUAUCGAGCUUCAGAAAAAUUAAUAGAUUUAGUAUAAAUUAAUAUAAGUAAAAGCAAAGCUAUUAAAUACUUUGGUUGGGGCAACCGGGGAGCAAAUAAAACCUCCUUUAGUUUGUAAGUCUUACUUGUGUUGAUCCAGGAAUUUUGAUUAAAGAAAUUAGUUACCGUAGGGAUAACAGCAUUAUCUUUUUCAAGAGCCCAUAUCGAAAAAAAGGUUUGUGACCUCGAUGUUGGACCAGAAUAUCCUAAAGAUGCAGAAGUCUUUAAGGG